CAGCCGCCGCGGUAAUACAGAGGGUGCGAGCGUUAAUCGGAUUUACUGGGCGUAAAGCGUGCGUAGGCGGCUUCUUAAGUCGGAUGUGAAAUCCCUGAGCUUAACUUAGGAAUUGCAUUCGAUACUGGGAAGCUAGAGUAUGGGAGAGGAUGGUAGAAUUCCAGGUGUAGCGGUGAAAUGCGUAGAGAUCUGGAGGAAUACCGAUGGCGAAGGCAGCCAUCUGGCCUAAUACUGACGCUGAGGUACGAAAGCAUGGGGAGCAAACAGGAUUAGAUACCCGGGUAGUCCAUGUCUCUUAUAC
This 301-nucleotide ribosomal RNA is filed under the name uncultured bacterium. RNAcentral's name for it is "partial 16S ribosomal RNA". It matches the Rfam family "Bacterial small subunit ribosomal RNA", at positions 509 to 807 of the family's 1533-position model. The record is from RNAcentral.